This 565-nucleotide ribosomal RNA is filed under the name uncultured bacterium. RNAcentral describes it as "partial 16S ribosomal RNA". It matches the Rfam family "Bacterial small subunit ribosomal RNA", at positions 355 to 912 of the family's 1533-position model. The record is from RNAcentral.
UGGGGAAUUUUGGACAAUGGGCGAAAGCCUGAUCCAGCAAUGCCGCGUGUGUGAAGAAGGCCUUCGGGUUGUAAAGCACUUUUGUCCGGAAAGAAAUCCUUGGCUCUAAUACAGUCGGGGGAUGACGGUACCGGAAGAAUAAGCACCGGCUAACUACGUGCCAGCAGCCGCGGUAAUACGUAGGGUGCAAGCGUUAAUCGGAAUUACUGGGCGUAAAGCGUGCGCAGGCGGUUUGCUAAGACCGAUGUGAAAUCCCCGGGCUCAACCUGGGAACUGCAUUGGUGACUGGCAGGCUAGAGUAUGGCAGAGGGGGGUAGAAUUCCACGUGUAGCAGUGAAAUGCGUAGAGAUGUGGAGGAAUACCGAUGGCGAAGGCAGCCCCCUGGGCCAAUACUGACGCUCAUGCACGAAAGCGUGGGGAGCAAACAGGAUUAGAUACCCUGGUAGUCCACGCCCUAAAACGAUGUCAACUAGUUGUUGGGGAUUCAUUUCCUUAGUAACGUAGCUAACGCGUGAAGUUGACCGCCUGGGGAGUACGGUCGCAAGAUUAAAACUUAAAUGAAUUG